Molecule: ribosomal RNA, 253 nt
Filed under: uncultured bacterium
Lineage: Bacteria
Description: partial 16S ribosomal RNA
Rfam family: Bacterial small subunit ribosomal RNA
Source: RNAcentral
UACGUAGGGUGCAAGCGUUGUCCGGAAUUAUUGGGCGUAAAGAGCUUGUAGGCGGUUUGUCGCGUCUGCUGUGAAAUUUCGGGGCUCAACCCCGAACUUGCAGUGGGUACGGGCAGACUAGAGUGUGGUAGGGGAGACUGGAAUUCCUGGUGUAGCGGUGAAAUGCGCAGAUAUCAGGAGGAACACCGGUGGCGAAGGCGGCAUCCUGGACCGGCAUUGACGCUGAGGCGCGAAAGCCAGGGGAGCAAACGGG